RNAcentral lists this ribosomal RNA (254 nucleotides) under uncultured bacterium. RNAcentral describes it as "partial 16S ribosomal RNA". It matches the Rfam family "Bacterial small subunit ribosomal RNA", at positions 524 to 776 of the family's 1533-position model. The record is from RNAcentral.
UACGGGGGGAGCAAGCGUUGUUCGGAUUUACUGGGCGUAAAGGGCGCGUAGGCGGUCGUGACAAGUCACUUGUGAAAUCUCCGGGCUUAACUCGGAACGGUCAAGUGAUACUGUCGGACUAGAGUACAGAAGGGGCAACUGGAAUUCUCGGUGUAGCGGUGAAAUGCUUAGAUAUCGAGAGGAACACCUGCGGCGAAGGCGGGUUGCUGGGCUGAUACUGACGCUGAGGCGCGAAAGCCAUGGGAGCGAACGGG